Long non-coding RNA from Rhipicephalus sanguineus (brown dog tick), 598 nucleotides. RefSeq lists it as uncharacterized. The transcript is spliced from 2 exons. Lineage: Eukaryota; Metazoa; Arthropoda; Arachnida; Ixodida; Ixodidae. The record is from RefSeq and is a predicted model, not a curated record.
CCAGGGUACAUCCUCAUUAAAACCAAGAGAAGGGCAUUGCCAGGGGUCUUUCCACUGGAAUAUAAAACGUGGCAUCGACAGCCCCUUCUCCAUCAAGAUGGAGGAACAGGUUCCCGUACUGUACAGGGGACUACGGCGGCGACAAGUCAAGUUGGAGAUGAAUGGCCUCACUACAGAGACAUUCGAUGAAAGGUGGAGAAGGCUCGCAGCACCAAUGCGUCGCAAGUUAGUUAAGGCUUGCGAUUUCAAGGCGGAAAUUGAAUUCGAUGGAUACUUCGUCUACAUGCUUACUCACCCUGAAGAAGGCAAUUUCAGAUGGGUACUUGUUAGUAUUAGUCAACUUCAAGACACGUCGAAAGGGCUUCAGCCAAGUGGGACGAAGCUGACGUGCGUCGCAAAAGGCGUGUAUGUGGAGAGAUUAUCUUGCUUCCGUCAGAGUAAGAAGAUAAUGUCAAGGUAAACAUAAAACUUGGGCACGCUCAUAUUCAAAUACAAAUGCUGAGUUCCUUUGAGUAAAGACCUAGUGAUACAUAUGUACAUUUGACUCUAUUUUAAACAUGACUGCACCUAUACGAAAUAAAGGCUUUUACAACUCAUU